This 457-nucleotide ribosomal RNA is filed under the name Centipeda noxia. Its description in RNAcentral is "bacterial SSU rRNA". It matches the Rfam family "Bacterial small subunit ribosomal RNA", at positions 28 to 464 of the family's 1533-position model. Lineage: Bacteria; Bacillati; Bacillota; Negativicutes; Selenomonadales; Selenomonadaceae. The record is from RNAcentral.
GACGAACGCUGGCGGCGUGCUUAACACAUGCAAGUCGAACGGAGCGAAUGAAAGCUUGCUUUUAUAAGCUUAGUGGCAAACGGGUGAGUAACACGUAGACAACCUGCCGACAGGAUGGGGACAACAUUCCGAAAGGAAUGCUAAUACCGAAUGAAGUGCAGGGGAGGCAUCUCCCCUGCAUGAAAGAUGGCCUCUAUAUAUAUGCUAUCACCUGUUGAUGGGUCUGCGUCUGAUUAGCUGGUAGGUGAGGUAACGGCUCACCUAGGCGACGAUCAGUAGCCGGUCUGAGAGGAUGAACGGCCACAUUGGGACUGAGACACGGCCCAGACUCCUACGGGAGGCAGCAGUGGGGAAUCUUCCGCAAUGGGCGCAAGCCUGACGGAGCAACGCCGCGUGAGUGAAGAAGGUCUUCGGAUCGUAAAAGCUCUGUGAUGGGGAUGAAACGUGCCCUAAUGCG